RNAcentral lists this ribosomal RNA (734 nucleotides) under uncultured bacterium. Its description in RNAcentral is "bacterial SSU rRNA". It matches the Rfam family "Bacterial small subunit ribosomal RNA", at positions 94 to 826 of the family's 1533-position model. The record is from RNAcentral.
ACCGGCGCAAGGGUGCGUAACGCGUGAGCAACAUGCCCGUAUCAGGGGGAUAAUCCAGGGAAACUUGGUCUAAUACCCCAUAGUAAGUUUUUGAGGCAUCUCAAGGAUUUUAAAGCUUUGGUGGAUACGGAUUGGCUCGCGUGACAUUAGCUAGAUGGUAAGGUAACGGCUUACCAUGGCUACGAUGUCUAGGGGUUCUGAGAGGAAGGUCCCCCACACUGGAACUGAGACACGGUCCAGACUCCUACGGGAGGCAGCAGUGAGGAAUAUUGGACAAUGGAUGGAAAUCUGAUCCAGCCAUGCCGCGUGCAGGAAGACGGCCCUAUGGGUUGUAAACUGCUUUUGUAUGGGAGCAAUAAGAUCUACGUGUAGAUUGAUGAGAGUACCAUACGAAUAAGCACCGGCUAACUCCGUGCCAGCAGCCGCGGUAAUACGGAGGGUGCAAGCGUUAUCCGGAUUUAUUGGGUUUAAAGGGUGCGUAGGCGGUUUGAUAAGUCAGCGGUGAAAUAUUUCAGCUUAACUGGAAGGGUGCCGUUGAUACUGUCAGGCUUGAAUUUAGUUGCUGUGGGUGGAAUGUGUGGUGUAGCGGUGAAAUGCAUAGAUAUCACACAGAAUAUCGAUUGCGAAGGCAGCUCACAAAGCUAAUAUUGACGCUGAUGCACGAAAGUGUGGGGAUCAAACAGGAUUAGAUACCCUGGUAGUCCACACUGUAAACGAUGAUAACUCGCUGUCGG